AACGAACGCUGGCGGCGUGGAUUAGGCAUGCAAGUCGAACGCGAAAGAGGGGGUAACUCCUCGAGUAGAGUGGCGAACGGGUGAGUAACACGUGAGAAACCUGCCUUCAGCAGGGGGAGUAACACUACCCAACGGGGUGGCUAAUACCGCAUGAGACCACGGAUUCGCAUGGAUCUGGGGUCAAAGGUGGCCUCUGCUUGCAAGCUACCGGCUGAAGAUGGUCUCGCGUCCCAUUAGCUAGUUGGUGGGGUAA
This 253-nucleotide ribosomal RNA is filed under the name uncultured bacterium. Its description in RNAcentral is "partial 16S ribosomal RNA". It matches the Rfam family "Bacterial small subunit ribosomal RNA", at positions 29 to 260 of the family's 1533-position model. The record is from RNAcentral.